This 792-nucleotide ribosomal RNA is filed under the name uncultured bacterium. RNAcentral's name for it is "bacterial SSU rRNA". It matches the Rfam family "Bacterial small subunit ribosomal RNA", at positions 1 to 790 of the family's 1533-position model. The record is from RNAcentral.
UAGAGUUUGAUCCUGGCUCAGGAUGAACGCUAGCGGCAGGCUUAACACAUGCAAGUCGAGGGGCAUCGGGAGGGAAGCUUGCUUUCCUUGCCGGCGACCGGCGCACGGGUGAGUAACACGUAUGCAACCUGCCCUCUUCAGGGGGACAACCUUCCGAAAGGGAGGCUAAUCCCGCGUAUAUCGGUUUCGGGCAUCCGAGAUCGAGGAAAGAUUCAUCGGAAGAGGAUGGGCAUGCGGCGCAUUAGCUUGACGGCGGGGUAACGGCCCACCGUGGCGACGAUGCGUAGGGGUUCUGAGAGGAAGGUCCCCCACACUGGUACUGAGACACGGACCAGACUCCUACGGGAGGCAGCAGUGAGGAAUAUUGGUCAAUGGGAGAGAUCCUGAACCAGCCAAGCCGCGUGAGGGAAGACGGCCCUAUGGGUUGUAAACCUCUUUUGUCGGAGAACAAAACCCGGGACGUGUCCCGGACUGCGUGUAUCCGAAGAAAAAGCAUCGGCUAACUCCGUGCCAGCAGCCGCGGUAAUACGGAGGAUGCGAGCGUUAUCCGGAUUUAUUGGGUUUAAAGGGUGCGUAGGCGGUCCGUUAAGUCAGCGGUAAAAUUGCGGGGCUCAACCCCGUCGAGCCGUUGAAACUGGCAGACUUGAGUUGGCGAGAAGUACGCGGAAUGCGCGGUGUAGCGGUGAAAUGCAUAGAUAUCGCGCAGAACUCCGAUUGCGAAGGCAGCGUACCGGCGCCACACUGACGCUGAGGCACGAAAGCGUGGGGAUCGAACAGGAUUAGAUACCCUGG